UAGCCCCGCCCGUGGCCUCUCUGGGAGAGCGGAAUCUCUAGAGCCGAGAGCUCACACCUCUCCACUUUUGGAUCAAAGAAUAAAGCUUUCCUUUGCUUCUGAACCGAACUCUGUCUAUUGGCUUGAAUGACGCCAGCCAGAGGGACCCUUGCUGAGGACUGACUGGAAAGGGUCUGUUACCGCUGCUGCUAUGGAAUUAUGCGACGUGGCAGAGGAAGCAACGGCGAUGGGGCCGGCGACCAUCAGACCCGUCCACGGUGAGAUGAAGCGCUGACAAAGAAUCAGAAAGGGAAGCUCUGCACGUUAGAGGACCCCACAGCCUCUCAUCCCAAUACUUCAAACACGUUUGCAAUUUUAGUGUAAAAAAAGGAAACUGUCUCCUGGAACCUACCAUGUUCUUACCGUACAGUAACUGAGGCCCCCAGAGCUAGAAACUAAAUAUAAUAGCUGCCACAUUCCCAAGGAGGUGCUCAUUAACCACCUAGGCAGAACGUGCAAGGAAAGUGUCUGCAGACCAGUUUUGUGAUCCUUAACCCCUCACUCACUUUCAGGGGUUUAAGCUGAAGUGACCAGAGGUUGGACACUGGAGAUUUUCAACAAAGGAUUUAAAGUGCUGCUGUAUUUUCUGUCUCUCUGACAUGGAGCCAGAUUCAAGGGACUUCCAGGAGACCCUUGACUUGGAACCUAAAGAGCACAGAGACGGGUGUGUGACCCACGCUUGAAAGACUGACUGGAACUGGCUGCUAGGGGUGGUGGCUGUACCCAUAGCAAGUUUUUUGACUGCUGUUGACUGUGGAAUACAUGUUUCAUGAGGACCGUGUAAGAGGGAGGCUGUCUGAUGCCAAUUUAAAGGAACUUUGCACAAGGUAGCCAUCUGCACUGACAAUGAGACUUUAACAGAUGAUCUGCACGGAGAUGACCUAGGGAGGAGCUAGGGUUUAAGGAUUUGUAAGCGGCCAGCCCGAGAGGGUGUGGUCUGUAACAAGGGGCAGCACUGAGAGAUCCCCAGUAAGGGAGCGGGUCUCUGGAGCAGAGCUUAGGAAAGCACCCACAAAGCAUGGGUCUUAAACACUCCCAAGUCCUGAGAGAGCCAGCUCUCGACAGGUGCCAUCAAGAAAGACCUUUCCUGCCCCUUUACUUCUUGUCCUUCCCCUGACUCCAGUUCUGGAAGGUCAGAGACUGCAGCUCCGGGCAAGGGGUCUGCGGGAGGAGGAACUGGCAGAGGAAGGGAGCAGCCACGCACACCAUCUCUUCCCACUGCAGCUGUCAGCACAACGCAGGUGCCAGCUGAGGGAGGAGAGAAGCUUCACUGUUACAGACUCUGUGUUUGAAAAGAUAUUCCAUGUGAAGCCCUUUGCACAGUGACAGCACUCCAUAAAUGAUAAAUGCUCAGGAUUGAGAUUGCUGGAUCAUACGGUUACUACAAGAUAUUGAAUACAGUUCCCUCUGCUAUACAGGAGGUUAAUUUCACUGAUUGAAGGGACACCAACUGUUGGAUUUAGGGCUCUCCCUCAUCUUAACCGCAUCAGUAAAGACCCUGUUUUCAAAAUAAGACCUCAUUCUGGGGUCAGAAGAGACACAAAUUUUGGGGACACUACUGAACUCACAGCAGCAGGUGAGGUACUGGAAAUCGGAGGGAAGAGGAAUGCCCACCAAACUGAGAAGGCAUCCUGAGACUGAAAAAGGAGGCAGACAGCUCCACGUAAUCAAUGGAUUGGUUCAUUAUCAGACACAGAGAGAAGAUGCCGCCUGCAACCAGGAAGAGAGCCUCAGCAGAGCCUGACCGUCCUGACACCCUGACCGCAGAGUGCUGGCCUCCAGAACUGUAGGAAAGACAUUUCUGUCAUUCAGUCUGGUAUUUUUUCAUGGCAGCCCACACGGACUAAGCCAGGGCCCUUCUGUGUCUGGCUUCUCUCAUUGUGCACCGUGUUUCCAAGGUUCACCUACCGUGUAGCCUGCGUCAGUGCUUUAUUCCCUUUUAAGCCUAAUAUUCCAUUGUGUGGAUGGACCCCCUUCUGUUUUCCUUUCUCUUGGGGGUUCUACAUAGGAGUGGAAUUUCUGGGUCAUAUACUGACUCCUUGUUUGACAUUUUGAGGAACUGCCAGGCUGUUUUCCAAAACGGCGGCACCGUUUCACAUUUCCACCAGCAGUGUUGGAAGGUUCCAGGUUCUCCCCUUGUUGUCUGUCUUUCUGAUUCUGUGAAUGCUGUCAUGGCGGCUCUGUCAGCCCAUCAGACCCUCACCCCUUUUACAUCAAGUAUUUUGUAACAUUCCCCUCACUUUCUAAAAUCAAAUGCAGAAAUAAUAUAAUCUCUCUAUGCAUAUAAUUUAAAUAUAAUUAUAUGUGUGUGUGUUUAUGUACACAGUUAUAUUUACAAUAGUGCAGAGAAGUAAAGUAAAUGUUUUAAUACAUAAUUUAAUAGGUGAGUGCUUGGCUUCAACUACACUAAGUAAUCAGAUACUUGCUUCAAUUUUUCUUCAAUUUAGAUUUAAGAAAAGAGAGAUGACAUUCAACUUGAUUCAAUCUUUUAUAUUUAAUAUUUUAAAAUGAGUGUAAACAGACAUCUUUGUGUAUAAUUUGAGUUACUGUGGUGACAGCAAUGCCAGUGCAUUUACUGAAAAUUCAGAAACUCUGAGACACUGUACCAGGAGAUGCAGUUUUCCAAGAUGUUGGCGAAUUCUUGGUAAUGUUCUAAAUGACAAUGAGAAGGAGUUUCUCUAGAGUCACGUUGUCGUUUUAUAAUCAUGCAAAAUGUAGUGUAUCUUAAAGCCAUACAGAAAUAAAUUGUAAUGUAAUAACUUGUAAAUAACUUGUAAUGUGAAGUAGAACAGAAUCAAAUUCUCAGCUUAGAAAGUUACAGAUAGGUCCUUCGCAUGGGCAGGCACAGGGAAGCCCUUCCUGCAGGCUGCCUGGCAGCUCAGGGCACCUCCACGAUAUACUCGAGAACACUGAUCUUUGUGUUCACCACAGAUGCACAGUUCCAUAUGCUCCUGGGAGAACUGAGCCGAGACCAGAGGUUCCCAAGCCAGGACGUGUGCCCCUCAUCCAGGGAGCAGGAGAGUGCAUGGUUUGGAAGGAGUCACUUUCUGAAAAACUGUUUCCCCGGUUAUAAUCCUCAGACUGGUUUGAAUGAAGUUUUCCAUAUCGUUCUUCUAUUGAACAUUGAUUAAUUUUUUUGUCAACAGUAUAUCCUUUAUCAUGAUGGGGGUACACAUACUUCAAAACAUACCAAAUUGUACGCUUUACAUGUGUGUAUUUGCCCUAUGUCAAUUACACCUCGAUAAAGCUGUUAAAGUAACUCAGAGUUCUAGGUAGUAAUGCAUCAUUGCAUGUUCAGUGGCUUAAUGAGAAGCAGCGUUUUGAUCUCGUUUUUUGUGACUUAAAUAGGAACUGUGUUCACCUGGGCUCCAUCUCAUUCUGAUCUCGAUGGGGCUGCUUUUAGGGAUGCGUCCUAUAGUUUGUCUCUUGCUGGGUUUGUGUGCCUCCUCUCAGCACAAACACACACAUUUUUCUUGCAGUGAACAUUGAAAUGAGUUUUGGCUACAAGAGAAUCUACCCAGGCUGGUGGGCCAGUCAGGGAGGAAUGGACACACCAAUUAUCUUCCACAAGCAAAAUAAGCUAAAUACAUAGAUUUGAAGGAACUGCACUUCAAGAACAUCCUACAGUAAGAGCCCUUUAUGAAAAUAAAGUACCACAUGGGGAAAGGUGGAAUGAGAUGGACAGCGUUCCAAAGCACAGAGGAUUUUCAGGGCAGUGAAAAUACUCUGUAUGAUACUAUAAUGGUGGAUAUAUGACAUUAUGCAUUUGUCUAAAUUUAUAUGUAUUAACUUAAUUUACAUACACAUGCAUAUAAAAUAACCCAAUAAUCAAUAGCCAUACAUAUAUCCCAAUAAUACAUAGCCCAGCAGAAAAUUGGGCCAAGUCAUGAACACUGUUUCACAUGAGAGCAAACUGAAUGGGACGAUUGACAGGGGUGAGAUGGUUGGGGGUGGAAAUUAAGAUGACGUGAGAAAUUGUUCUGCGCCCUCUACAGCAAGACUAAAACACUGGACAGUAGACCACAUGUGGGCUCUAGAUCCACAAGAUACUUUGCAUUUUGCUGAUGGGAGUUCAGAAUGGUGCAACCCUUCAGGAAACUGUUUGGCGUGAACUCCUGGUCAAUCUUCCCUGAUACAAAUCCAAGAGUAUGGUGUGUUCACUGGAGUGUUUGCAGCAACCCCAUCCAGAGCAGCAUAGAUGUGGAAACACUUCCAAAGACACCCAGCAGGAGAGUGGAGGAGGGAAUGAGGCUGCACGGGGUUCCCGUCAUGAGGGGUCACCCAGCAAUCAGAGUGAACGAGCUGCAGACACCUCCCAACAUGGGCGAAGCUUAGAAAUACACCAUUAAGGGGAAAAGUAAGUCCCCAAAGAUUACAUACAGCGUAAAACUUUAAAAAAAGUUAUACAAAUUAAAAGGUAAAAUGUACACUCUUUUAGGAAUUGUAGUGGAUUUAAUGGUGACCCUGAGACAGACACGCCCACCUCCUAAUUCCUGGAAGCUGUGAAAGGGACCUUAUUUGGAAAUAGUGUCUUCGCAGAGGUCAUUGAGUGAAGGGUCUGAGAAAAGAUCAUCCUGGAUUACCUGGGUGGCCCUACACCAAUGACAGUGUCCUUAUAAGAGACACACAGGGGAAGGGACACGAAGAGAAGCCAUGAGACGGUGGAGCAGAGAUGGGGGUGAUAAGUCUACAAAGUGAGGAACAUCAGGGGUCUCCAGGAAGCACCAGAAGCUGGGACAGAGCCCUGGAUGGAUUCUCCCCUUAAGUGUCUGGAAGAACUGUCCCUGCCCACAUGUUGAUUUUGAACUUCUGGCUUCCACAAAUUAAGAGAAUAAAUUGCUACUGUUUUAAGGCA
Camelus dromedarius (Arabian camel) is the source of this 4894-nucleotide long non-coding RNA. RefSeq lists it as uncharacterized. NCBI's taxonomy places the organism in Eukaryota, Metazoa, Chordata, Mammalia, Artiodactyla, Camelidae. The transcript has 7 exons. The record is from RefSeq and is a predicted model, not a curated record.